Long non-coding RNA from Brassica napus (rape), 4292 nucleotides. RefSeq lists it as uncharacterized. Lineage: Eukaryota; Viridiplantae; Streptophyta; Magnoliopsida; Brassicales; Brassicaceae. The transcript is spliced from 6 exons. The record is from RefSeq and is a predicted model, not a curated record.
CUAAAUACUCAGAACUGUCACUCAUUUUAUAGUUAUUUCUACAAGUCUUCAUGUAUUUGUUUUAAAGGUCAGGUAAGAGCAACAACUUAAAAAAUAAAAUAAAAACAUAUAACAAACAUAAUAAGGAUAAUAAGGAUAAUAAAAAUUAUUACUUACACAUAACUUACACAACUACACUGGAGAAAAAAUAUCUAGAAACAAAAGGUACUCUCAACAACUUUAAUAUAAUUUAUGUACUCUCAACAGUACAAGAAACAAAUUAAAAAGACAAACAAACAAUAAGUCUCAGUGACAUGGCAAACAACACCACAAACUAUAUCAAUUACAUUAUUAACACAAUUUAGUCAUUCAUAAGUAGAGAACAAUGCAUACACAGUUCAUCAUCACAACUCUAACCCUAUAACAAUUAAAAAACUUGAAAAACAACUCAAAACACAAAAUUCACAACUACAAUAACCCUAGCAAAUAUUGAGAUGAAACAAGAACUCUGUCCACAACUCCGCGCUUGUGCGGGGCAAUGCCCCUAGUCUAUAUAAUAAUAGUACAGUUUUUACUCUCCCCUAAAAGUGUACACCUAGACACUUUUUUAAGAUUGUGGGCCCCACAUUAUUUCCGGUUCUUUAACGUACUAUAAGUAAGUGAACCAAACUAUGUCGUUUUAUUACAGCCCUCAUAUUGUUUUCUUACUUUGACUCUUCACCUCGCGUCUCUGGUGUCUGUUUCUCAACUCUUCACCUCCAACUCUUUUCAUAUACAUGUAUUCCUUUGGCUUCCUUCAUAUUCCUCUAAAAUUUGACAUAAAUGUCUAUAAAUUGGAGAUGGUUGAGAGUAUGAUAGAAUCUUCACAGACCUUCUCAAUUACUCUUUUAUCUCAAACCUAGAUACCUGCUUCGAAAAUGUCUUCGUCUGAUGAUGUUGUAGUUCAAGCCCAAUCCGCCUCUCAACCUUUGAUGCUCAUUGUUAAGGCUGGCUGCAGACAGAUCGUCUGACACGGCUGCUUCGAUUUUGGGCGUUGACAUCCUGCUGAUUGAUUGGAAGUCAACGCUAAUACAAGAGAGAUCAUUUUACCUGUUGAACACCUUCAAGGAAAUCUUGCAAGAGAGAUCCUUUUAUGAGCUAAGCAUUUUUUAUGUUACACGAAGCAACACGAACUUCUGGUAUGUUGCGCCCCUGUUGCAAUUAGUUUUGCAGACCAAACCAUGUUCGUUGAGAUUGCUGCGAUGGUGGAACGGAACCCAAGAAAGAGCGGUGGUUCCGCAACUUUGACACAAUCUGAUUUGGCCAACACAAAAACUGACUUGCCAGGGUUUAAGCUAACAUAAUCGAUGGAUGCCUAGCGAAAAAUAGAAUGAAGAGGAGAAGUCUAAGAAUAAAAACAAACGUCCAAUUAGUUCUGUAGAUCUAAGCACAAGUAGGAAUCGUGGAUUCUGAGGUUUCUUUGAGCGCCCAAUGAGGAAGUCUGCUCCAUACUUAUUGGGAGAUGAAUGUAUUGAGAGAUCCAGAGAAAACAUUGAUAGCUUGGAUUCCGAACCCAAUGAGAUCUAUCGGUUUGAACUUCUAAUGAAUGAAAUUAUAGAGCUGGAGAAGCGGGUCCAAAGAAGUACAAAUGAGCCGAUAAAUGAGGAGGGAAGUUCUGGGGAUCCUUCUAUAUCAAGCAGUAACACAAGGUGUGGAGUUGGUUCAGAGCUCAAAGAAAGAAAACGUCACUGGGAAAACACUCGAUCAAAUCAAAGAAACAAACACAAUAUGGAAGUCAUUCCAAGCAUUCAUGAAAACCCAACUUUUUCUGAUCAUCUUUGUUCCUUGACAUUUACUCUACAUCAUGACGUUAGUUACUGUGAUAUUUUUGAUAGGACGUGUGGCAAGGUUUCAGCUUUUUGGAUCUGAUUCAGUUGCUGCUAUGGAGCUACUUCGGAGGUCUGUAAUAGGAGAUGAGUUAACAGAGAAUGAAAAGAAAAGCUCUGCACAGGACUAUGACUGGCUUAGCAUCAGUUGUUCCCAUUGGUGUUCUUAUGAUUCUUCACUUGAGUAAAAUUAUUCCCUCCGCAUUGGUUGAUCAUCCUUGGCAAUGUGUUUGAGUUGUUGAACUAAUCCAUUGGGUACGCUUAUGUAAAAACAGGUUACACCAGUUUGCCAUGCGGCUAUACUUGCUAUAAUUCAAAGAUAUGUGCCAAGCCUGGUAAUGUUCUCAUCUUUUGUAUUACAUGAGAUGAUGGCGAUGGUCAAAAAACAUGUUUGCUAACGUCUACUCGCUGCUCAUCACUCGCGGAUACUACAUCUACGUCAUUAAGACAUGGUGCAAGAAAACGGUUAAUAACUUAUUAACCACUAUACUCAAUACAAAGUUGUAACUGAUGCAGUAUGGACUCUGAUUUUGGUUUUUGAUAGACCAUGGAUUUUAACUACUUUUAGCCAUGGUUUAUAAGUGUUUUAAUAUAUAUUUACUACUAUAUAGAGAAUAUUUAGAGUAUUUACAGGUUCAGGUACGUUCUGGAGAAAUAUGGUGAUUUUGGAGCCUUUUGAGGUGCAGAACUGCACAGACGCAUCAGAUGUUUAGCUAUGGAUGAAGACCUUUUUACCGUUAGAUUGAGCCCAUCGUUUGACACAAGAUAGAUCUUUGAGUUAGCUUUCCAACACCACCGGUUUGAGGUCAAUCAGCAUCCUGUAGCAGACGUUAUGCCUGGUUUACGGAAGAGUGCUCAGUCUGCCUCACGAGAGGAAGCUGUCGAGGAAAUAAAGGACUGUCGAUCGAUAUUGCAUCAUUGGUGUCGGUCGACAGUGAUCCCAGAAAACAGGACAAGCCUAUUUCGUGACCAAUUUAGGCCCGGAAGUCACCACAUAUUACUAAUAUACCCUGGACGACCUAAAACCUAUUUUACUGUUUUCUAAGCCAUUGUUGACGGCUAUGCUUCAUACUAUUCUAGGGAGAGAAAGCUGAAGAUUGGAGAGAGAGAUCUGUACAUCUUGAGAGAGGGAAGAUCUUGAACUCCCUUUGUUUCUUUCCUCUAUCAUGUUUUUAUUAGUUUAUUUAAGUAUUAUUCAGACCAUCAUAACUAUGUGUUUCAUAAAUAUGUCUGAGUAGUCCUUGCUGUUAGGUUUAGGUUUCUCAAUAGGUUGAUAAAUGUAUUACUGACACAAACAAUUGUUAUGGUGUUUAGAAAUAUAGUUCUUCAUCUAGUUGUUCUUAAAGGUAAGUUUAGGAUUGAUCACCUUUUAAACUUAGAUCUUAGGAUUAAUUGAGAUCAAGCCACUGUUUGACUCAAUACCUGAAAUUAGCUAGUAUGAUCUAACUGACUAGAUACAGACGAGAGUUGGUCUAGUGAGUUAGAGAAUAUAAAUCAAACAUGUCCGUAAAGCUUUCUGGAAGAAGUAUCGAUCGACGCAGCGAUAUUCAAAAUAUCGAUCAAUAUUCAUAACGAAUUAUCGAUCGACACUUUCUCGUAAUUAACAUACGAGAGUUGAAAUCCGAGAUCCAGAUUAGACAAUCAAAUAGAUUAUAUCUUAGUUUGAAUUCAAGAACAAUUAAUAUCAAUAAGCCCUAAAGACCCAACUUAAGUAUUACUUAUCAUACCUGAAUCUAGCUAUUCUCCCAACUGUUAACAACCUCAAAUCAAAUCAAUCGAGCAAUUAUUUUGCUCACCAAUUCAUUUACUGCUUUAAAACCUAUAAAUCAUUUAAUCUAGCCUUAAUUCGAAUAUUAUAAAUCUAUUGUGUAAUCCUAGAGUUUAUGUGGAUUCGAUCCCUAAGUACUACAUCUGAACCUCUUAUUUGAGAGAGUAAUUCACUAAUUAGAAUAAUUUGAGUGAUAUCAGUUUUUCAUAUGUGAUUUAUUAGACUGGAUGUAUUUGAUGGUACGAAAGGCUAAUUUGUGCGUUCAGGUCAAGCAUUGAGGCUGUUUCAAUACUAGAGGUAUAAUCUAUAAACAUUUCUCUAUUGUAUAUCCAAGAACAAGGAGGAAUAAUAUAGUCAUCUAUAUUUUUACCUUUAAUGUGUGUUACCAGGAAAUGUCUUGACCAAGCAACUUUAGAUACAAAAGCGGAGAAUACAUGUGCCUCAACUGUUCUGGAGUUUCUUCAUCAGAAUGGUAUAUUGAAUCAGUGUCUACAUCAGCGUUAUAGGAGGCAUGACUGAGCAAUUAAGACAAGUAUUCUCUGCGGUACUUUACACUUCAUUUCUCCACUAAACAUAAACAGAACAAAUCCACUGAGUCAAAAUGUAUGUAGCUUACUUUGUCUGUAUAUGAUCCUUAGGUGUGUAAGCCACACCUUCCUAAUGAAUAUAGAUUGAACAGA